Non-coding RNA from Myotis davidii, 74 nucleotides. Lineage: Eukaryota; Metazoa; Chordata; Mammalia; Chiroptera; Vespertilionidae. The record is from Rfam.
GGCCAGGUGGCUCAGUUGGUUGGAGUGUCAUCCCAUACACCAAAAGGUUUUGGGUUCAAUUCCCAACCAGGUCA